This 113-nucleotide non-coding RNA is filed under the name uncultured Faecousia sp. Its description in RNAcentral is "Moco (molybdenum cofactor) riboswitch". It matches the Rfam family "Molybdenum/Tungsten riboswitch aptamer (Moco RNA motif)", at positions 11 to 123 of the family's 135-position model. The record is from RNAcentral. Lineage: Bacteria; Bacillati; Bacillota; Clostridia; Eubacteriales; Oscillospiraceae.
UUUGUUUCCGUGCCUGCGGUGCUAAAGAGUGUUCCAUGGAUCGCAGGCCCGCGCUUUGGCGCAAAGGGUUUUGCCGGAAACGGCAGGGCCUUCCGUGUUUGAGAAGGAAGCAU